AGGGGUUCGAAGAGGCAUAUCUAUCUCUAGGGUUGGACAUUCAUCAAUAAUGCUAUGACAUCGGCCCUAUAAGCUUUAUCAUAUGCCUGACCCAUGUCUGCAGCCUAGGUAAUAGAUUACCCUCCAACAUAUUCUAUUUUGUUUGGUAGUGAGAUGUGUUGUGAUCUCCAUCAUCAAUAUCAUUGAAACUUCUUUUAAUAGAUUGGAAC
RNAcentral lists this long non-coding RNA (209 nucleotides) under Elaeis guineensis (African oil palm). RNAcentral's name for it is "long non-coding RNA (EGUI_LNC072017)". The record is from RNAcentral. Lineage: Eukaryota; Viridiplantae; Streptophyta; Magnoliopsida; Arecales; Arecaceae.